Molecule: transfer RNA, 72 nt
Filed under: Phrynosoma platyrhinos (Desert horned lizard)
Lineage: Eukaryota; Metazoa; Chordata; Lepidosauria; Squamata; Phrynosomatidae
Description: tRNA-OTHER
Source: RNAcentral
GCCAGUGUGGUGUAAUGGUUUGAGAGCUGGACUAGGACUCUGGAAACCAGGGUUCAAAUCUCUGCUUGGACA